UGCCCCUGGGUCUCGCUAUUGCGGUAAGCAUCUUAGUUUCUGCCCAGCUGUUCUUUAACUUGUAUUUUUCUGCAUAGAUGAAUAGAGAUGUUGAUCAUUAUACAUCUAAUAAUCUGGCCCCAAAAAUUCAUCAGGUUUGCAUUUCGAUAUUCAAGAUUCUCUUGCACGUAACAAGGCCAAACACAGUUGUGUUGGGGAACAUUCCAGGGACUGGAAUAUACCAAAGCCUUAGCCGAUACACAGAAACUUUAAGAGUUCCUUCAUUUCUCAUACUGGCUAUUGAAUCUCCCAUCUACUUUGCAAAUUCCACUUACUUACAAGAGAGGUCAGUUCAUGCCUGUUACAUAAAAAAGCGUUGGUGGGUGAUGGUGGUCAUCUGAUUAAAAGGGUUCUCAUUUAUUGCAGGAUAUUAAGAUGGAUUAGAGAGGAGGAAGAAUGGAUAAGCGCCGCUAAUGGAAGCUUAUUGAAAUGUGUAAUUCUUGACAUGACUGGUAUGUCAUCGAUUGAAGUAACAAAGAUCCUUUAAUUCCAAACGAAAUGAAGCCUGUCAAUCUCAAAUCUUUUUGUUCUUGUUCUCAGCUGUGACAGCCAUAGACACAAGCGGCAUUGAAACAGUGGGAGAGCUCCGGAAGAUGAUGGCCAAAAGAUCAAUUGAGGUGAGAAUUACUGAGAGUAUAACUCUAAAAACAUUCUUAGCUAUGAGCUUUUCCAGUUCAAGCAACCAAGUUUUAGUAACUAAGGAUGUCUGUGUGCUACAUGUAGCUCGUUCUAGCAAACCCCGUUGCAAGUGUGAUGGAAAAGCUGCACCAAUCGAAAACUCUGGAGUCCUUCGGCCUAAGCAGCCUCUACCUCACGGUAGCUGAAGCCGUGGAGGAUAUAUCUUCGACGUGGAAGGCUCAGCCAUGAGUGUAAUACUUGCAGGCCUCGGUAACCUGAUAGGGAGAGUGUUCUGUUAAGGUUUUGUUUCUUUUAGAGGGAUCUUUUUCUUGUAAGAUAUGUAUGAGGAAACCUGAAAGAUUUUGCUUUUAGUUCAAAUGUAAAAUCAAAGUUUUCUUAACCCAUGCCAGCUGCCUCAUUCUGUAGUUGCAGUUACAUGUUACAAGGCUAAAUCAUUAUGUACUUAAUAAAUCAACUUCUAACAUCAUCACAGCAUAAAUUCCUUUCCUAUUUAGGCUCAUCAAGUCAUGACCCAAAAUCAAAGAACCAAAUACAUGUAUCAAUUUAUCUCUAAUUUUCCUCAUCUCCCCCUCACACCCAUAAGAAACUCUUCUAUUUCUCUCUUUCCAAACAACACCCACCCCCCCUCCUUAUGUAAAUUAAGUAGGAUUAGUGUAAUGGGUAAUACAAGUAAUGUAUAGUUUUUAGAUUUUCUUUUUUCUUGGGUCAAAAUAUUGAAAUUAGAUCAAUUAGAAAAGAUUUUGAGCUGCCCAUUUUAGCCAGAGCAUUAGAUAAGAGUAGUAAAUCACAUUACAUAUAAAUUAGGAAACUACCAAAAAUAGGCUGUACUAAUCCACCUUAUAGAGAAAUUAGGAAAGCAUUUAUUUGUGAACUAAAUAUGAUGGGGAUUGAGAAUUAAUUUGUUUACUACUGCUGGUAAUGGGUGACCGCCUUGAUUUUUGUUGAGGUUAAUUUUUCUUGUGAGUUAGUAAAAUAUUUAAAAAAAUGAUUUUUAGUAAAAUGCAAUUAAGAUGAAAAAUAAUGUAAUGUUUGAUAAAAUUUGUUGUAAAAAUUGAUAUUGUAUUUAAUUACUUAUGUCAUAAAAUUAGUAAUAAAUAUUGAAAUAAUAAUAAUUUAAAUAAUAUUAUUUUAAAAAAAUUAUAAUAAUUUAAGUUAUUUAUGAUAUUUAUUUUGAUUUCACUUUUUAAUCAAUAUAAAUAUUAAUUUUAAAUUAUACAAAUAAAAAAUAUUGGUAAUUAUUUUUAUCUUAGAAUUAUUAAAUUUCAUGUAUAAUAUAUAUAUAUAUAUAUUUCUCAAUUAAAGUUAACCUCAUUUUUUGUAACGGCUACAUAAAUUUAGAAUGAAAUAUGUGUAUUAAAAAUGUCAAAUGCGGAAGCGUAAUAAAAAUUUUGAUUAACAUCUUUUACACAAAAACAGAAAACGUGCUCAAAAUAUAGAAGAACAAACUAACUGAAAGAGAUACUCGAAAAUAAGAAUUAUAAAUAUAACUACGGAGUCUUUAGGCGUCCCAUUCGCCGUAUUCCUACGGAACGGGAUCGGGAACAAUGUCUUUCUGAUUUGAAAUAGUUGAAUAAGGAAUGAGCUACACCAGCCUAGUAAAGACAUCACACUAUCUCACCGUCACGGAGGUAAAGGUGAGUAGAAAACACAAAAAAGACCAAUGGAGCAUAAUUUAUAACAAAUUCUUUUAUCAAUAAUAAAAUCCUUUACUGUCCACUUAUCUCGGUGAGAUCCAUAAAACAACAUAUGAAAACAAUAACAUUAUUAUCAUCAUGAAAUCAUAUGAACAGUAUAACAUAAUACUUACCAUGCCUUUGCAUUUCAAUCAUUAAACAACACAUUUUCCUAAUUUACCAGCCUAUUAGUAUCCACGAGGAUCCAUAGGGGUCCCGCUACCCGUGAACCCUUAACAUUUAUAACCUGAUUCCAGAGCCGUCCCCAUACCCCGUCCGGUAUGGGCACCAAAACCAUGAACCUCAAUACCCCGUCCGGUAUGAGGGUGAAAUGGGCCGUCCCCAUACCCCAUCCGGUAUGGGCGCCAAAACACAGAAGGUCUCCAUACCCCGUCCGGUAUGAGAGACCACGUUCCCGGUAGAGUUCCCUACGGACCAGGUCCGUUCAUCAUCUCCCAAGAUAUCUAGUCAGGCUGUCAACAUUAUCCAUUUAUCAAUUCACGUAACCUUUUAUUCUUUUUUUCCUCAGUCACCAUCAUCAAAUAACACACAAACAUGCAAACCAGUAGUUUAUGUCAAACAAGACAACACACAACAUCGGGUUCUCAGUCAUUCAACCCAUAAUCAAUAAAACAGUUAUAUAUGCACACGAAACUAUGAAAUGAAAACAUCAGACAUCAUACUGCAUUUAAAACUGUAAAAUAGAACAAACAACAACUGAUCGACAAAUACACUAGACUCGGGCUCCAUUAGCGACCUUAAACAAUUUCACACAUCUAUUGAUUCAUGAAAUACCGUUUUAUCAUUUAUUGAACUUUAAUACCGUGAUAGGAAAUAGGGUGAGGGGUCCUUACUUGUUUCGGGGUCUGAAUACGGCUCUACAGUGCGCCUACAGGCUGUCCCUAAUUUUCCUGAAUUUUUUUCGGAAAACUGAAACGCACUACCGGUACUUGCACGUGUCCCAAAAAAAUUCCAAAUCAGACCUAGGGCCCCUUUCGACCAAUAUCGCAAUUCCGGCACGGCGGCUUCGCCGUGCUCCGGCGACGGCGCCACCGCAAGCGGCGGCGAUUCGCAUUGGCUUGGUCGUUUUCGGCCGAAUUCGGCCACGCUUGCAUCGGUCCCUGCGAUAGAACAACCCUAGGGCCCUCGGUGGGCCUAAAAAUCACGAAAAACCGAAACUUACCGGCAGCGGUGCUCUCGAGUGCGGCAGCUCCUCCGGUGUGAGUCGCGUUUUGAUGUUUGGCUCCGAUCAAGCUGUAGAGAAAAGAACGGUGAUCACAGUGGUAUAAAAUUUGCAUUAAAUGGAGGCCGGGAAGGGCCUCAUCGGAGGCAAAAACGAGGGGGGGGGGGCGUGGCGGCGCCGCUGGGUUUCGACUAUGUUUUUCGGCUGUUUGGCUGGUGGUUUGGCUCCAGUUUGGCCAUAUACGGACUCAGUUUCGAAAAACGAUCAGGUAAGAAAAAAAUUCACCUCAAUCGGCGGUCGAAACUUCCCCGUGCGGCGGCGGGUGCGGCGGCCGGCUCUCCGGCGUCUGGUUCUUCUUCUCCGGCGAGCACUGGCGGCUAGGGUUUCUGUGGUCAGGUGUGGUGGGGUUAUUUAUACCCUUUGCCUUUUAAUCUCAACUGUCCAUCAAGAUUAAAUCUGGACCGUUCGAUCGCGAUUUAAUUGGGAUUAAAUCUGGGCCGUCCAUCGCGAUGCAAUCUGGACCGUCCGUGCCUGAUUGAAUCUGGGCUGUCCGUGCGCGUGAAUCUGGGCCGUCCGUGUGCGCGGGAACGGAUCUGGGCCGUCCGAUCGCGCGCACGCGGAUCGCCCACGUGGCCCGUCCCCUGGUCAGCAUUUCCUUACCACGCGGUGCGUCCUGGUUGGCCGGGGCUGCUGACUGGGCCGCUGACGUGGCUGCUGACGUGGUGCUGACGUGACACAACUUUUCUAAAUUGUAUUUUGACCCCCGGUUUCUGAUUUUCUUUUUAAAAACACCCAUAGAAUCUAAAUUUUCACUUUUUUUUUUUUCAAAAUCAAUUUCAAUUAAAUUCAAAUAAUAUUUUUACCCAAUUUUAUCAUUAUUAUUAUUUUUAUUUUCAUCAAAUUAAAUUAAAUUAAAUUAAAUAAAAAAUCAAAUAAAAUUUCAAUAAUUACAAAAUAAAAUAAAUUGAAAAAAAAAUAAUAAUAAUAAUACACUUGAGGUGUUACAUUUUUGUCAACAAGGUUAAAUGAUAUACCAAAAAACUCUAACCCAUAAAUAAGUAAUGAGAAAACUCCAAGUUCUCCAAAGUUUUGUCAGAAUUACCAUUUGGAAGACACCUUGAACAUACACAAAGCACAUAUCUCCAAAUUUUCUUCUUUUAUCUACUCUAUGGUUGAAUUCAAACUUAUGUUAUGCCCUUGCAUCCCAUUGUUAGGCUUCCAUAGUUGAUAAAAUUUAUUUACUGAUAUAGUCUUUGAGGAUAUGAGUUAACCUGCAAUUAUCUUAUUUCAGUUAUAGUUUUUUUUCUUGAAGAUUUGGAAGUUAGUAUAACUUUUAUGCGUGAAAGAUUCCUUGUAUGUGCAACUAUGGAGUUGAUACUUUCCAAGUCUUUUUUUAUAUCUGUAUUGAAGAUGAGUGAACACUGAUGUCAAAGAGUAAAAUGGAACUAGCUUCGUAAAACCGACAAGACGAGUCAUAAAGGAGGUAAAGGCCUCAAGACAAAGAGGAUUUCUGUAAAAGGUGAGAAUUUUUAAUGUUUACUUCUCUCAAGAAUCCCUAACAAAUAGAAAGUUAAAUUGCCCAUUUUAGAAGAUCACCUGGAUGGUACAUGCAUUAAGUUACAUGUAGACACCAAAUAGAGCACCCAUAUUGGAAGAAAGCCACUUUAUAGUAUCUAAUUUCUUUCCCACGGGUUGAUAUAUGCAGUGAAAGAAAAAAAAAACAUGUAAAGGACAGACGGACAGACAAAAAGAACAAAAAUGGGUAAAGUCACACCAAGCAUUCACCAGUCAAAGAUAAACAAUACCAAGUACUCAUAUAGCCAUACCUAUACUAAGGGAGUCAGAAUAUAAAAGGAUCAAGCGAAAAUUAGAGCCUCCACAGUCCACACGAUGAGGGGAAGAUUUGUCAUGGGAAGAACAGGAUUUCUUGAACUCAUGGUCAAAUUUAGAAAGGAGUAAAGAAUGAGAGGACAAGCCCUAGGAGAGAAGACCUAAAAUUGGGAAAAUUAAGUGAAUGAGAAGAUAGGGACCUAUUCCCCCUUUUAUAAGCCCGCUGCAUGAUAACCCAAAAACAUGACAAAUGCUGAAAAAUAUGGUACUUGAUAUAAAAUCAUCACCUGUGGUAAAAUAAAUUAGACAAACACUGUCUUAGUACUACAUCAGGAAUGAGUGCUUCUAUCAGAUUCAGGCCAGAUUGUGCACAGAACAUUAUGCAACACAAUCACACACACACACACUAAAAUUGUCCACUGAGGACUUGAGCCCAAAUUUCAGUCGUGUAUUUUUGAGCUUAUCAUAAAUUUCCACAAGUCCAAUUUCUAAGAAGUUUCAUAUUCCCAUAUUCUAGAAUUUAGAAACAAGCUACCCAAAAGGCUUAUGCAGCCUAACUUUCACAGCUUCAUGGAGAGAAGUAAACAAAACAAAAUCAGGAGCUUUUGAGCAUAUCAUCAGUAAAAAAGUACUGCGUGAGAGCAGGAAAUGACUUUAAUUUUAUUUGGUCAAGUACAGAAGACAACUAUAUUUAAAAAUAUGUCUGAACUUCAUAACAUCUAGAGAAGGAAAAAAAAAAAGUAAGGGAGUUUUCCUAAUGCAUUAUGUGUUUUUAUUAUCUAUAAGCUCAAACUUGAAACAAAUUCUGUGUUGAAUGCAUCUCAGAACAAAUACACAUCAAAUAUCAUCAAUCAGCUGUCCAAGGACAUGAAGAACUGAAGCAUCAGCAUACCCAAAAUAUAACCCCAUCACAUUACUUCUGCAAUUCUAUUAUAUUUUGGGUAUGCUGAUGCUUUAGUUCUUCAUAUAAGAGAGCAAAUGAUUAUACCAAUAGCAUGUAACUCAAUGGCAUGAAUCUCUUUUAGUGAAACUAUCGGCAGCAACACAUAAAAUUGGUUUAACACACCCAUCUUUCAAGCAUUCUUAAAUUAGUCUUCUAUUAUUCCACCAUAACACCAAUUCAUAUUUAAUUAUACCCGAGCAUGCAAAUAUUUGGUUGCUUUUGUCAACCAGCAACUACUAAACCUUGAAAGAAUCAUUACUUCUGAAAGAAAUCAAUCUUUCUAUACCUGUUAGACCAAGCUGAGUGCCGCCACCACUUCAACAACAGAGCAUUGUGCUAUACUUCAAACUUGAUUGAUUUAGUAGUUGAAAAACAAUCAUGUCCAAAAGAUUCAGCAGUGUAUGAAUCAAUUAGCUUUCUGACAUCAGGUGAAAAAAUUCUCACAAGACAGAGAACAAAAAACUGCCCGAUCGAUAUGCUUGCUAAAGAAUAAAAACCUAACCCACUAUGAAGUCACGUAAAAUAGAAAGAGAUAUCAAGGCUGAUAUGCAUCUUUUCCAAGAUGACCUGAAACUCUAGAAAAAGAAUUUGCCAGCAGGAAUACCUAUUUGUAUGGAAUCAAUCUUCCCAUCAUUUAAGUAUCAUUCACAAACCACGAAUCAUUCCCUAUAUUCACCACAAGCAUGGAAAUAGAAACCAUAGGUUACUGCAACUCUUUCUCAGUGCAGAUCAUUUCUAGUAUUUAUGAACUCGGACCAGAGCUCCUCCAAAGCAAUGAAGAUACUGGAUCUUGCCUGUUGAGGUUUUCCUAUCAAUCAAACAUCUGCAAGGAAAAUAAAUCCCAAAUUAACUCUGCAAAAAAUUGUAGAAAGAUUGGGUUAUGGGGUAACUGAAAGCAUGUGAAGGUGCCUAUUGCAGCUAAAUUCAAAAAUCAAAUUGCUACAGAAACCCCAUGGAAUUGUUUUACACAAUUCCCUUCAAAAAUAUUGUCAACUACGUAGCAACUAAAAAUUCCAUGAAAAUUAUUUAAAGAAAUGAUGCUUCAAAAGCAUCGCUUGUCUCCUUAAACGGCCAAUCAACAUUUGUAAUAUAAGGAAUCAUACAAAUCUGCUUGAUGUUUAGGUCUCAUUGGAUAGUUUGUUCAGCUCAAAAUGAUCUGGAAAACAAUAUCCUCCAAAAUUGAAAAAUAAAAAAAUAAAAUAGCAACUAACAAUAUAGCUUAGCUCAUAAUGACAAGAAAACUGGAAUCUAAAUCUGUUGAACAAUAUUAUGUAUAUCAUCAACUUUCUCUUCCCUAUUCUCAUUUGCAGUCAUGCCUCAUGCAACACUUGCAGAUGGUUCAAUCUCAUUACUAAAACUGUGUUGCUACACUAAUUAACUUCCAGAUCCAACUUACUUUCCUGUGAAUUCAAUCUUAAAUUAAAUCACGCAUAAAAAGAAAGAAUACUAUGUACAAUGUGAUGCUAGGAUAAAGAAGGAAAAUACUUCUGAUAUUUUCUUCUAUAUUUGUUCCUGGCUAUAUGCCUCCUAUUUAUAUUGGCUGCUUUCUCUGAAAAAAUUGAUCUAGAAAACACUUUGUUUAUGCAACCAAAGGGUUCAACUCGACUUCGAUACAGUCACAGCCUGGUUUACAAUCACAAGAUAGGGUUUUGAUUCUAUUUGCAAUAUAGGACUAGGGUUUCCAUAUGUCACGCAGCAAGGACGAAUAGAUAGAAGCUAAAAUUCCACAAGUGUGAUGAAAAGGGAAACUUCAGCAUAUGGCAAACUGGGAUACCAGCUCUAAUGGUACAGCAGAGGGACCAAACCCAAAAAAGAUGGAUAAGGAUGACUGAAAGGAGAACAACAGAUUUCUUUUAGCAUAAGUUGUAUAUGCUUGGGGCAUUCGAUUAACCAGACUGAGACCAAAUGGCAAGGGGUUUGUAGGCGAAACUUAAAAUCUGUUCAUGGCAAAGAACAUGACUAACAAAAUUUUUACAAAAGAGAGAUUUUGAUACAUCUGAUUGACCGCAUAACCUUGUUACAUAAGAAAGUUAACAAUUUGGUGACUUCAAGAUAAGGAAAUCAUAUUUUUUUGUAUCCUGCCGCCUUCUAUCAUCUCAUCACUAGAGUGAUUUAUGAGAAAGAAAUCUUAUCUAAUAAGGAGGUGGUUGCAGUCCCCUAAGCUCUCAAUGAAUGAAGAAAAAUUUUGAAGCAGAAAGUUCCCAAUCAAAAUGAUCAGUGACAAAUACAGAUUGUGGACAAGGUAGAUCUUGAGUUAAAGGUGCAGAAGGGGAAAGUCCAAAGAAGUUCCAAGUUGAAAGGUAAGAAGGGGCAUGCUUUAAGUGCCCUCAAAAGGGCUAACUAUAAGAAAGAUUGUUCUCUGUUGAAGAAAAUAAUGAACAGAAGGAGAACUACAAGUUCUACGAGUGUGUCCUCAGACAUGAGACGAAAAGACAAUGGUGGUUUCUGCAAGUAAUAGUGUUUAUCUUUCUCCCUGGACGUUAAGUUCAGCUUGUUUGUCUCACUAUAUAGUAAAAGAGAUUGAUCUAAUACUUACAAACAGUGUGAUACUUGCAGUAUUGAGCCAGGUGAUAACUGUUAACGCAAGGCGAUUGGUAUAAGGGGAAUCAAAAUUAAAAUGUUAGAUGAGGUGAUCAAAAUCUUGAAAAAUGUCAACAUUGGCCGGGAAUUGAGAAAAAUUUGAUUUCCCUGGGCUAUUUAGAAAAGACUGGGCUCUUUAGAAUGACUUUGUAUGGUUUUUUUUGUGUAGAUCCUGUAAAUGGAAUCCUAAAGAUUACCAAAGGUCUCGUGGUUGUAAUGAAAGGGGAAUCAAGUAGAAAAUAAUUUGUACAAGUUGGUUGGUACUACGGUUAUACUUGAUACUUCAAUUGUAUCAUUAGGAUCUGACACUGAUGACUACUCUCUGACAUAUGGAUCAUAUUGGCAAGCAAGACAUGGUGGAACUUCACAAAAGAAAGCUGCUGAAGGGGUUAAUUGUUUUUGUCCGUUUAAUUUGAGAACACUAGAUCCUUAGGAAACAAAAAGGGAUGAGCUUCGCAUCUUCUCCAGCCAAGAUAUCAGCAAAGGGUAUGGACAAGUAGAGAUUGGAUUAUUUUAUGCUUAGACUAAUGAGCGGUCUAAGUUGGAUUUCCAAGUCAACAAAAUGCAUCUUUGUCAGUUACCAUAAGGGACUUGAAGGUUGAAAGUCACAGAUUGUCGGAUCUGAAGGCAGAGAAAAUGACUGUCAGUAGAGAUGUAGUCUUUAAUAAGAGAACAAUGCUAAAGAAACAUCCAGCUUUAUUCUUUCUGAUGUACAAGGUUACAAGGGAGAGAGGGAGCUCAGGAACUUAGAAAAUCAAAAUCGAUCAACAAAUCAGUCAAAAAAUGAUGGCAGUAGUGAUACCCAAUUCUCGUAGUGAGCAACUAGAAGACCCAAUUUUACAACAUUUUCAUCAACAGACCUAAAAGCAUUUAUAAUGCUCCUAUGAUCUAUGGGUUUGAGAAUGUAACAUUUGAUGCACCAUUAACUAGUUGUGAAGAACCUUGUUCAUUUAAGGAAGCAAUUUCUGGUCUAGAGAAAGAUUAGUGGAAAGAAGUUAUGGUUCAUUAGGCGUCCAAUGACAUUUUCUUUCUUGGAACUUAAAAUACAUUUGUCAGGAACAAUAGUGUUGUACUCUUAUUUCCAAACUUAAAAUAUUUUUUUUUGAAAUAAAAUUUCCAAGCUUAAAAUAAUAUGUCCUAUAUAUAUAAGUUCUAGGGAUAAGAGAAGGAAAAGUACAAUUAAUUACAAAGAGUAUAUUUUACUUUAAUACCUUUUAACCUAUUUUAACCCUAUUUAUACAUAAAGUAGAUUCUUUAAUAUUCCCCCUCAAGUUGGGAUGGAUGUUAUUCAUCACCCACUUGUAAAUGAUAAUCUGGAAUGUUGGACUAUUAAAGCCUUUAGUCAACAUAACUGUAAGUUGUAACUUGGUUGGCAUAUGAGGUGUACAUAUCAAACUAUUAUCCUUAAUAAAAUGCCAAUCAACUUCAAUGUACUUUGUUCUAUUAUCUAUAGAGGAUUGUAAGAAUACUUAUCGCCGAUUGUUGUCACAGUAAAGGCGCACUGGGUUAUCCCACUUGACUCUUAAAUCUUCUAAGAAUCUUUCAACCAUAGUAACUCACAUACCAUUUAUACCAUUACUCAGAAUUUUGAUCUACAGUAACCUGAAGUAGAUCUUUCUAUCCAUCACUGAUCCUGCAUAGUAUCAGUGUAAACUUCAAGGAUCAACCUAUCAUUCCUUUUAAACAUCAAGGAUUUAAAUUUUGAGAAAAGAAGAAAUGUUAUCUCAAAGUGAGGUAACAUCCCUAAUCAGUGUCGAACAAUGCAGGAGGGGGAAUAUACUACAACUCCGCACGACUAACAACUCAAUAAUGGUAAUCAAAGGCUCCAAACCAUGUCAACAAGGAAAAGAGUCAAGUAACAAUUAGAACCUAGAAGGGAAUAAGGAUGAUUUGUGGUGUACCUUCGGACACAUUAAGGAAAAAUGCUAGAAAUUUCACAAAAAGCCCACUACAUCAGGUAAAGAAUGGGGGUACGAGAACUCCCCAUAGAAGCCUUACGGACAGGUCCAUGCGCUUAAUUAACAGGAAGAAGAGAAACACACUUAGCGAAUUCAAGGUCGAAAUUGAACGAUUUAUAGUAGACUUGAGGACGUAAAGAAGCCCACAGGUAAAAGCCUGUUAGCACAUUCAGGUAUGUGAGAAUCACAUAGUUUAAAUAUCUAAGAUACACCAUUUGAUAAAUCAUGGAUUAUAGACUCAAGUGACGAUAUGAUCAAUUCCUUAAAACACUUUUUGACAUAUUCACCAUGCUCAAGUAGUAGGAAAAUUGUUAACGUAGAUAAGUCUCUAAACACCAUUGCUGGAACGGGCACCAUCAAAAUUAGCCCUAAUCUAGUUCUUAAAAAUGUGCUACAUGUUCCUAAAUUUUGUAUUAAUCUUGUGUCAGUCAUUAAAUUAACUAAGAACCUGAACUGUAAAAUAAUCUUUUUUCCUUCUCAUUAUGAUUUUCAGGACCAAAACUCAAUGAAAGAUGAUUGGAUAUGCUGAAAUCAGGAACAGAUUAUACUAUUUGGAUGCACUUGAGUUCUCUCCAUACCACAACUAUAGACUCUACCACCGAGCUAUGGCUCUACCACAAACGACUUGGUCAUCAUUCCUUUUUCAUUUUGAAUAUCAUGUUUCUUUUUUUUUCUAUUAAAGACUUUAUUAAUAAAAAUUUAUAUUACAAUAUAUGCGAGUUUGUUAAACAUAAAUACAUAAUAUUUUCCAGUAACAACAAAAGAAGAAGGCUUCCUUUUUCAUUAAUCUAUAUUGAUAUUUGAGGACCUGCCCACACUCCUAAUAUAUCUGAAAUAUGAUGAUUUAUGUUGUUCAUUAAUGAUUGUACAAGAGUCACAUGGCUCUUCUUACUUAAAAUAAAAUCUGAUGUGGUCACAUAAUAUCUCAAUUUUGCAAAAUGAUCAAAAUCUAGUUUGAAACUCAUAUAAAAAAAUUCCACACUUAUAAUGCAAAGGACUUUUUUAAUCAUACUCUUAUCUUUCUUUUUAAAACAAGAAUCAAUUAUUCAUUAAUCAUCAUGUGUUCAUAUUCCAUAAUGGUGGCAGAAUGAAAGAAUAGUUGCAUUCUUGCUAUUACCCAAUCCUUCUUAUUGUAUAACCAUGUUCCUUACUGCUACAUGGUUAUCCUCUAGUGUCCUAGAUUUUAAAAACCCUUUGAAAACCCUCUUCAAAUUUUACCCAAAAAUCAGUAUCACAAACCAUCUACUUCCUUAGAUAUUUGAGUGUGUAACAUUUGUUCAUAUUCAUACCCACUAGAGAAGAAAACUUGAUCCCAAAACUUUAAAAUGUGUGCUGUAGGGUGCUCUUCUUCUCAAAAGUGAUACAAGUGCUAUCAUUUGCCUAGAAAUUUUUUUUAUAUGUUUGCAAUAUUACUUUAGAUGAAACAAAAUCCUAUUUUACCUAACCUUNNNNNNNNNNNNNNNNNNNNNNNNNNNNNNNNNNNNNNNNNNNNNNNNNNNNNNNNNNNNNNNNNNNNNNNNNNNNNNNNNNNNNNNNNNNNNNNNNNNNNNNNNNNNNNNNNNNNNNNNNNNNNNNNNNNNNNNNNNNNNNNNNNNNNNNNNNNNNNNNNNNNNNNNNNNNNNNNNNNNNNNNNNNNNNNNNNNNNNNNNNNNNNNNNNNNNNNNNNNNNNNNNNNNNNNNNNNNNNNNNNNNNNNNNNNNNNNNNNNNNNNNNNNNNNNNNNNNNNNNNNNNNNNNNNNNNNNNNNNNNNNNNNNNNNNNNNNNNNNNNNNNNNNNNNNNNNNNNNNNNNNNNNNNNNNNNNNNNNNNNNNNNNNNNNNNNNNNNNNNNNNNNNNNNNNNNNNNNNNNNNNNNNNNNNNNNNNNNNNNNNNNNNNNNNNNNNNNNNNNNNNNNNNNNNNNNNNNNNNNNNNNNNNNNNNNNNNNNNNNNNNNNNNNNNNNNNNNNNNNNNNNNNNNNNNNNNNNNNNNNNNNNNNNNNNNNNNNNNNNNNNNNNNNNNNNNNNNNNNNNNNNNNNNNNNNNNNNNNNNNNNNNNNNNNNNNNNNNNNNNNNNNNNNNNNNNNNNNNNNNNNNNNNNNNNNNNNNNNNNNNNNNNNNNNNNNNNNNNNNNNCAUUUUGACGAGUGUUCACAAUCCUUCAAGAAUUUUCUUAUUAGUCUUAAUAUUGUAUCUAUUUUCUAACAUGUAUCCAAGGCAUUAUCCUAUGAGAAACGGAAAAAUACCAUGAUCGCUGAAAUGCAAGUACUAGAAAAGAACUAGACAUGGGAGAUAGUAGACUUUACCAAAGGAAAAAAGUUCAUGGGGAUGUAAGUAUUCACCAUAAAAUCCAGGGUACAUAGAACAAUUGAAAGGUAAAAAGCAAGCUGAUUGGUCAAAUUUUAUACCCAAAUCUACGGGAUAGAUUAUCAAGAGACAUUCGCACUAGUUGCAAAAAUGAAUAUAGUGCAAGUUCUACAAUCUCUAGCUGCCCACUUCAAGUGACAAUUACAAUAAUUUGAUAUUUAAAAAUCAUUCCUACAUAGAGAAUUAAAGAAGAGAUCUACAUGGAAGUUCCUUUAUAUUUAAAAAAAAAACGAAAGAUCUAAAUGAAAAUUCCACUAAGAUUUGCUAAAGAAAUGAGUACAAACAAAGUGUAUAAAUUGAAGAAAGCACAUUAUGAACUCAAGCAGUCACCUAGAGUGUGGUUUGGUAGAUUUAGCAAAGUAAUGUUGGGCACGGAAAACAAACAAAAAUAGAGUCACCUUACUUAUCAAGCACUCAGAUUCGGGGAUAUUUACUGCUCUCUUAGUAUAUGUUGAUGAUAUUAUUGUGACAUGAGUAUUUCAAAAAAAUAUAUAUUAUUAUAAUAGGGACGAUGAAGAAGAAAAACUAAGACUCAAGCAUUGUCUGGCCAAGAAGUUUGAAAUCAAAGAAUUCAUAAAUCAGAAGUACUUCCUGGGAAUUGAAAUAGCUCAUUCAAAAUCACGAAUCUCCAUCUCAUAGCAGAAAUACAUAAAUGAUUUGUUGAAAGAAACAAGUAAACUACCAUGUAAACCAGCUAGUACACCUAUUGACCCUAAUCAUAAGUUGAGAUCUAUAAAAAUGAUACAAAAAUAGAUACGGGGAUGUAUCAGAGACUAGUUGGUAGGCUAUUUUCUUUGUGGGCAUGGGGUUUGAAGCCUUUAAUUACCAUUACUAAGUUGUUAAUAGUGCGGGGUUCUAGCAUAACUCAUCUCUUGCUUUCUUUGGAACUGACCAAGAAUAUUACCUCAUUCAGAUAUGGCAUCUCUUCUUUUUUUAGGAUCUAAAUUCUUACCUAAUUAUAUUCUUCAUUGAGUCUUGUCAUCCAUUGAUAUGCUCUGUCUUUCUCCACCAUCUUCAGGGUAGCAACAUCUUUGCUGCUUUCUAUAGUGAAGCAACAAUAUUGAUCAAGCUCCUGCCACAAGUUUUUCAAUAGGUUGACAUACUCUGUGACCAAUUUAUUUUCUUAUUUUGCUGACCAAGUUUUAAUUUUUUUAGAUCAUAUAUUAGCACUGCAUAUUUUACCUUGAAAUAGCUUUCUCUAAUUAAAUCUAAUACUUCUUUCGUGUUGGGUAAUAACAUAACAAUAUUGCUUAUCUCUAAUGUCAUUGAGUUUCACAACCAAACCAUUAUUACUGAAUCCUUUUCAUCCCAUGCAUCAAAUUUGAAUCUCUGAUUUUGGUCCAGUGCCCAGAAUGUAAUUGAUUUUCCUUUUCUUUUUACAAUGUUCUGAAUCAGUUGUGAGCAAUUCAAGUACUUCUUCCCAUUGAAAAUAUAAGCAGCAUUUAUUGACUGGAAUUCUCCAUUAAUUUGUGCAGAAUUUUUGCAUGAAAAUAUAUGCCAGUGAUUUGAGACAUAGCCUCCGAUUUAGGUUUUAGAGCAAUUAAAUAAAGCUAAAAAUAAGGGUUUUACCAGUUGAACAGUGAUUGUGUGACAAGGGCACCGCUGGAGGUAUAGAUAGCUAGGAGAUGGCAGCACCUAGACGCCGCUGUAGGUGGUUGGUCAUGCGACUGCUUGUGCGUAGCUGCUGGUGGCAGUGUCUCUGCUGGUGCAUAGCUAGUGGUGGUGGCGGCCGGACUUCAUUUGAUGGUUGAUUAACUAGUUUCGGCCUAUUAAGGCCCGUAGUGGCUGGUCUAGUAGCCGGCUAUGAAGAUUGACCCUUUUUAGAGUUUUCUUAUUUCAGUAGUAAAGGCCGAAAAAAAGUUUGUAACAGAGUUUAAUAUUUUUUAAACUAAAACUCUGAUACCAUAUUAGCAAAGAUUAUUUUGUGUUUUCAUUAAAUAAUACGUCUCUAUACAUACAAACUCUAGGAAUAAAAAAAAGGGAAUGUAGAAUUAAUUACAAAUGGUGUUUUUUACUUUAAUAUCCUUUCACCUAAUAUACCUCUAUUUAUACGUAAAGUAAAUUCUUUAACAAUAUUAUCUUUCUUGAAAAACUAGUAAUACAUCAACUUAUUUCUUUAGGAAUUUAUAAUUUUUUUGAAGUAUUUUAGGAAUUUACAAUUUAAGAACCAGUUUAAUGGUUACUUUCUUCGCCCAAAUAAAAAAUUCUUCUAGAUUACAAGAGGACCCACAAUCAGCAAGUAGAAAAUAGACAAUUAUCAGUGGAGAUAGUUUGUGUUGAACUCUAUACUUCCUUUGGAUUAGGCUUAGAUGUCUUUUACUCAACUUUUGAGUUAUUUAAAUAAAUUUAUCUGAACUCUUGACUAAUUAACAUAGCAAUUGUAGUUAUAUACUGAAAAACCAUGAAGAACUAAAUCAUGGUUAUCAGGUCCUAGAUUUUAGGAAAGAAGUUAACCGACUCUUCCAUUCAUUUGUAACUAGAUUUCAGAAACAAACAGAUUGGCAUAAUUUCUUUAAAAGUUCAUAGGAAAUCUAACUUAAAAUAUUGAAGAGUUCUCCACAAAAAGCCCUAAACCCUAAUUCAACAUAUAUCAUAUUUAAGAAACUCCGCAAAACAAGCUGCCCACUUG
RNAcentral lists this long non-coding RNA (15815 nucleotides) under Carica papaya (papaya). RNAcentral describes it as "long non-coding RNA (CPAP_LNC005312)". Lineage: Eukaryota; Viridiplantae; Streptophyta; Magnoliopsida; Brassicales; Caricaceae. The record is from RNAcentral.